GAUGAACGCUAGCGGCAGGCUUAACACAUGCAAGUCGUGGGGCAGCGCGGGGUAGCAAUACUCUGGCGGCGACCGGCAAACGGGUGCGGAACACGUACGCAACCUUCCUCAGAGCGGGGAAUAGCCUCUCGAAAGAGAGAUUAAUACCCCAUAGUAUCGUACAAGGGCAUCUGAGUACGAUUAAAGCUCCGGCACUUUGAGAUGGGCGUGCGGCUGAUUAGGUAGUUGGUAGGGUAACGGCCUACCAAGCCGACGAUCAGUAGCUGAUGUGAGAGCAUGAUCAGCCACACGGGCACUGAGACACGGGCCCGACUCCUACGGGAGGCAGCAGUGAGGAAUAUUGGUCAAUGGAGGCAACUCUGAACCAGCCAUGCCGCGUGAAGGAUGAAGGUCCUCUGGAUUGUAAACUUCUUUUAUAGAAGAAGAAACCCCGGUAUUCUUACCGGGUUGACGGUACUCUAUGAAUAAGCACCGGCUAACUCCGUG
Molecule: ribosomal RNA, 486 nt
Filed under: uncultured organism
Description: bacterial SSU rRNA
Rfam family: Bacterial small subunit ribosomal RNA
Source: RNAcentral